This 1043-nucleotide long non-coding RNA is filed under the name Eucalyptus grandis. RNAcentral describes it as "long non-coding RNA (EGRA_LNC003020)". The record is from RNAcentral. Lineage: Eukaryota; Viridiplantae; Streptophyta; Magnoliopsida; Myrtales; Myrtaceae.
AAGAAAAUACCUAAAUUUUCUUUUGUUUUUCUCUUUUUUUUUUUUCUAAAAAAGGCCGGUCCGGCGAGGGGGGGAUCACCGGCUAGGGUUCCGGCGAGGCUCCGGAGCGGCGUGUCGGCAGCGAGGCAGCAGGGAGCGUCGCGGGUCUGCUCGGGCUGGAGGCGAAGCGGAGGCGGCGUCGGGGCGGCACGGGCCUGCGUCGCGGGGCCUGCGUCGGGGCGGCACGGGCCUGCGUCGCGGGGGCUGCGUCGGGGCGCUCGGAUCACGGGCUUCAGCCGGCGGGGCGCUGCAGGGACGGCGGGAGGCCUCUGGUGGCUGCGAUGAGGAGCUCCGGCGUCUGGAUCGGGCUGUGGGCGCGGCGUCCAGUGAGAGAACCAGAUCGGGGGCGAGCGUCGCGGCGAGGAGCAAGGGCAGCGUCAGAUGUGGGUCUUCAACGAGGCUCGGCACCGGUGAAAGGGAAGCCUCGAGCUGGGUUCGGGCCUUCUGUCGUCGGGGACCUCGGAUUUGCAGGCGGAGGGACUCCAGCGGCUGGAUCUCGGCUCAGCUGCGGCUCUAGGUCACCGGUGGCUUGGGAUCUGACGGCGGAGACAGAUCUGCAGAGGAGGGUUGCAACGGCAGGGAUUGGCGCGGCGUCCGGGGGCUUCCUGUUGCAGGCGCAGGCAGAGGUGAGGCGGAGGCGGCGGGUCGCGGGCCAGAGCAGGCGGCGGCGUGUCGUCGAGGCUCCGGGGGCUCAGCGUCGGGGGCGGCGCAGGUCGUCGGGGCUCGCGGCUCGAGCGCUCGCGGACGGAGAUCGACGACGGCGACGGCGGGGUUCGACGGCGACAGGGGCGGCGAAGGCCCCCCCCCCCCCCCCUGCGGGGAAGAUGAACAGUCGCGCAAGGGGGGGCUUUUCUUUUCUUUUUUCUCUUUUUUUUCUACUUUUCCUCUCUCCACUCACUUUUUCACCCUUUGCUUUUUUUUACCGAUGGAAAGGACCCCCUUCUCUCGUGCUUUUCUCUCUGAAUUUGUUCCCCUUCGAUAUGACCGAAUGUCUCAAAUGCGUG